Molecule: unclassified non-coding RNA, 204 nt
Filed under: uncultured Clavulina
Lineage: Eukaryota; Fungi; Basidiomycota; Agaricomycetes; Cantharellales; Hydnaceae
Description: sequence contains ITS1
Source: RNAcentral
ACGAAUUGUAAUGGGGGUUGAUGCUGGCAAGCUAAUCUUUUGGCUGCAUGUGCUCGCCUCCAACAAUCUUUAUCCACACACCUGUGCACCUGAGGGUUUUUCGAGUAGAGAUUACCAUCUGGUGAUCUUUCUUGGAUAUUCCCUCUUUACAUACGCUGGUUACAAUGUUGAACGCGCUCGUGCCGAUAUGGCCGUAAUAAAAUA